AAUCCGAUCCUCCUUCCUUCUCCCCUCUCACGCGAGCGAUUCAUCGCUGACAGUGCUCUUUCUCCAUUCCCGACCUCUCCCUCACUGCGUCAUCUGGUGUGUCACUGCCAGAUCUGGAUAGCGUCGGCGUCAUCUAGCUCACCACUAGUGGAGCUACCACCUAUUUCCAGCGAUGUCUUGAGUCUGAUUAUCGGUUGCUCUGCACCUUGGGGCACCAUCACCUUCACUACUUGUGUCGCCCCCAGUAGAUCCACCAGCGGUGCCCUUCUCAUCGAUUCAUUCUUAGGGUAGUGAAUCGUACCACCACAAGUAGAGUCCGGAUCGAGCGCCAUCACUGGGAGACGAUCAACCGAGUGUGUUGUUGGAAUCUCGCUGAGCAUAUCACUGGUAUCUUCGGUGCAUUCUAUUGUUAGAGAUCUAAUUUGGGGAGGAGGUGGUCGACUAGGGACCUUGAUCGGAUUUCUUUUGAGAUGGACAACUUGGCAUGGGGGUUCUUUCAGCUAUGAGCUAUAUUAAGGCGGGUAUUUCUUUCUUGGUCUCUUUAGUUCUUUGAACUUAGUGCAUGGUUGUUUUUGAUUGAUGGAUUAGGUUGCUUUACCUUAAAUUUGUACGUUUGUUGCAAUCUUGCUUGAUACUUAUGCUUGACCUUUGAGAUGAUCUAUUUAUUUUACAUACAGUCUUGACUUUUGGAUAUCUAUACUUAGUUAUGCAUACACAUGUAGAGUAUAUAUUGUAGGGGAUGUCUUGAUAACUAAGUUAACAUUGCUGAUUAUGCAUUUGGUGUUGAGUGUACACAUGAUUGGUAUGUGUUGUAGGAGUCACCUGGUUGAUUGUCCAUUCGUAUAUUGUGUGUGUACACAUGUCCAGUGUGGUUAUUGGAGGUAUAUUGUUGAUUAUACCUAUGUUAUAGGUGUUAGAGUGUAUACUAAAAGCCUAGCUUUUGUAAACAUUUAUUUUUGAAAUAAUAGAAUCACAUUGGUCAAAUGUCUAUAUUU
This is a long non-coding RNA of Zingiber officinale, 995 nucleotides long. RefSeq lists it as uncharacterized. The transcript has 3 exons. NCBI's taxonomy places the organism in Eukaryota, Viridiplantae, Streptophyta, Magnoliopsida, Zingiberales, Zingiberaceae. The record is from RefSeq and is a predicted model, not a curated record.